RNAcentral lists this non-coding RNA (27 nucleotides) under Mus musculus (house mouse). The record is from RNAcentral. Lineage: Eukaryota; Metazoa; Chordata; Mammalia; Rodentia; Muridae.
UGAUGCGGCACCCCUUCUUGUAAGUGA